GACGAACGCUGGCGGCGUGCUUAACACAUGCAAGUCGUACGGUAAGGCCCUUUAGGGGGUACACGAGUGGCGAACGGGUGAGUAACACGUGAGUAACCUGCCCACAACUUUGGGAUAACGCUGGGAAACUGGUGCUAAUACUGGAUAUGUGCUCCUGCUGCAUGGUGGGGGUUGGAAAGCUCCGGCGGUUGUGGAUGGACUCGCGGCCUAUCAGCUUGUUGGUGGGGUAGUGGCCUACCAAGGCGGCGACGGGUAGCCGGCCUGAGAGGGUGACCGGCCACAUUGGGACUGAGAUACGGCCCAGACGCCUACGGGAGGCAGCAGUGGGGAAUAUUGCACAAUGGGCGCAAGCCUGAUGCAGCAACGCCGCGUGCGGGAUGACGGCCUUCGGGUUGUAAACCGCUUUCAGCAGGGACGAAGCUUUUUGUGACGGUACCUGCAGAAGAAGCACCGGCUAACUACGUG
Molecule: ribosomal RNA, 465 nt
Filed under: uncultured bacterium
Lineage: Bacteria
Description: partial 16S ribosomal RNA
Rfam family: Bacterial small subunit ribosomal RNA
Source: RNAcentral